RNAcentral lists this ribosomal RNA (525 nucleotides) under uncultured bacterium. RNAcentral describes it as "bacterial SSU rRNA". It matches the Rfam family "Bacterial small subunit ribosomal RNA", at positions 134 to 677 of the family's 1533-position model. The record is from RNAcentral.
UACAGGGGGAUAACAGUUAGAAAUGACUGCUAAUACCGCAUAAGACCACAGCACCGCAUGGUGCGGGGGUAAAAACUCCGGUGGUAUGAGAUGGACCCGCGUCUGAUUAGCUAGUUGGUAAGGUAACGGCUUACCAAGGCGACGAUCAGUAGCCGACCUGAGAGGGUGACCGGCCACAUUGGGACUGAGACACGGCCCAAACUCCUACGGGAGGCAGCAGUGGGGAAUAUUGCACAAUGGGGGAAACCCUGAUGCAGCGACGCCGCGUGAGCGAAGAAGUAUUUCGGUAUGUAAAGCUCUAUCAGCAGGGAAGAAAAUGACGGUACCUGACUAAGAAGCACCGGCUAAAUACGUGCCAGCAGCCGCGGUAAUACGUAUGGUGCAAGCGUUAUCCGGAUUUACUGGGUGUAAAGGGAGCGUAGACGGAUGGGCAAGUCUGAUGUGAAAACCCGGGGCUCAACCCCGGGACUGCAUUGGAAACUGUUCAUCUAGAGUGCUGGAGAGGUAAGUGGAAUUCCUAGUGUA